GAUGAACGCUGGCGGCGUGCUUAACACAUGCAAGUCGAACGAAGCACUUUAUUUGAUUUCCUUCGGGACUGAUUAUUUUGUGACUGAGUGGCGGACGGGUGAGUAACGCGUGGGUAACCUGCCUUGUACAGGGGGAUAACAGUUGGAAACGGCUGCUAAUACCGCAUAAGCGCACAGCAUCGCAUGAUGCAGUGUGAAAAACUCCGGUGGGAUAAGAUGGACCCGCGUUGGAUUAGCUAGUUGGUGAGGUAACGGCCCACCAAGGCGACGAUCCAUAGCCGAGCUGAGAGGGGGACCGGCCGCAGUGGGACUGAGACACGGCCCAAACUCCUACGGGAGGCAGCAGUGGGGAAUAUUGCACAAUGGGCGAAAGCCUGAUGCAGCGACGCCGCGUGAGCGAAGAAGUAUUUCGGGAUGUAAAGCUCUAUCAGCAGGGAAGAUAAUGACGGUACCUGACGAAGAAGCACCGGCUAAAUACGUG
RNAcentral lists this ribosomal RNA (481 nucleotides) under uncultured bacterium. Its description in RNAcentral is "partial 16S ribosomal RNA". It matches the Rfam family "Bacterial small subunit ribosomal RNA", at positions 28 to 507 of the family's 1533-position model. The record is from RNAcentral.